RNAcentral lists this long non-coding RNA (1650 nucleotides) under Strongylocentrotus purpuratus (purple sea urchin). Its description in RNAcentral is "uncharacterized LOC105446118". The record is from RNAcentral. Lineage: Eukaryota; Metazoa; Echinodermata; Echinoidea; Camarodonta; Strongylocentrotidae.
UGGGUACCGGAUAAUGAUAUCCAGGCCCUCUAAGUGUAAAGAAAGUUGCAAAAAGCUUUUGAAUGAGGCCCUGGAUCUCAUCUUCACAAAGGACGAAUUGGCCAACUCGAGCGGCAUGGGCCUGAGAAAGGACAAGAAGAGACCAAAUAACAAGCCCCUGGAUCCCCUCAAGAUUGCAGCAAUUAUUGAUUUCACAAAGUCUUACGCGACGACGAAUAGCUGGGAGGUCAUCAAUGAAAAGGACAUGCAUCGCAUUAUCACCAACAAAGUAACAAAUGCGCGCAGAUGAGCUAGGACAUUCCAGUUGAUGGCAUUCCAUAUGUUUCCUCAAACGGGUCAAUAUACAUGUACUGUAGAUAUGUUUUGAUACUCUAGCUGUUAAACUUACUGUUCUAAGUCAAGUAUUCAUAUCCUUUAUUGAAUAUUUGUAGUCAUUUUACUUUAAGCUAUUAAUCCUGUAUUUUUUUAUAUGAAAAAUUAAGACUUGAUGAGCAAACUCUUGAUGCUGAAUUCAUUUUUCAGAGAUUAAGUUAUUGCAACCUUCCUACUUUCGAUAUAUAUGUCAAGUUGUAGGUGGGGGGCAAAUAAAAACUUUGCUCCAAUAACGGGAAAUGCUUAUUUUUGUCUUGAACUUUCUCCACUUUUGAGCACAAUACAAUGUAUUCUAGUGAUGACCUAACUUCAGGAGUUAUUGUGGUACAUCAUUUUAUUUUGCAGUCUACUGUGUAAGCCAAUAUAUUUUCACGAUUUUGGGCUGAUUCAUGAUUUUGGCUUAUUCAUGAUUUUGGUGGCGUUUUCAUGAGCUGUAAUUGACAUAAAUUGGAAUUUUUUUCUGAUUGUCAAUUCUAUAAAAAAAAUAUAACGGUCGUGAAAUAUCAGCGCACACACUUUUACAUAUUUAAUAUACAUAUAUAUACAGUCAACCUUGCCUAAGUCGAAUCUGUUGGGACUGAAGAAAUAGCUUCGACUUAGAAAAAAUUCGACUUAUGAAUGGUUAAAAACAAUAGAAUAUAAAGAGAAGAUGACUUGAAAAGGCCUUCGACUUAGGCGAUUAUUCGACUUAUGCAAGUUCGACUUAGGCAAGGUUGACUGUAUAUUACAAUAUUAUUUUGUAAAACUGUAAGAUAUCCGUAGAUCUUAUGUAGUGUAAAAUUUUUAGUCCUUUAACGCUAUUUACAAGAGCUUUAAAAAAAAAAGUACAAAAGUAUUAACUGGUUUUAUUGCGUAUCUCCCUCCCCCCUCCUCAGGUUCUAGUAAGGUGUUGGAAAAAUUAAAGUCCCUGGGUCUUCCGUGAAGCCUGAAACAAGACUAUGUUGGCACACCCGUAUGAUCUGUUACCAAAGUACUUUCCCCGCUCAUCGUUAAUAAUUAAGCUGGUUUGCACUAGUCUUAUUUCAGACUGCAAUCGAUGCAUCAUUUUUAAUAUUAAGGGAAAUUUGUUAUAACAUUUGUACUCUUGAGGUUUUUUUUCAUAAAUACAGCUGAGAUAUCAGUUCUACAUAUUUCUAAAUUCUCACUUUGUUGUUAAUGACCUUUUAAAGAGCAUUUUGAUAUUUUUUGCUCGAAUUUCUCGUGGACACGUAUAUAAUCAAAAGUUAUUGUAAUUUUCAUGAGCCAAGUUUUGAUAGAUUCAAUAACAAUGUAUGUGUA